UGUUCUCCAGUUCAGACACACAACAUACAGUGUGUCAUCAGCCUCUAUAUGAAAUAUUAACGUCCUUCUUUAAACCCGUUCGUUAUGCUUCCUUACAGUGUCUCAAUCCUCCAGUAGGUUACGGAUUCCAGAUGAAAUGAAAACAGACACAAACAGGUGCAAGUAUUUUUCGGCAACCCAGCGCGAACCUUGGAAAAGUAGAGAUUUGCAUCUUUGCAAUGUUUUUUUGUUUGUAACAUUGAGCCAACGCCAGACUUUAGUGUCACCGUGUAAACAGGUGAGAGUGUGCUUCCAGUCUGUUGGCUGUCAUCCCCGGUUUCCAAUUUUAAAUAGAAAAAUACUGCUUUUUUUUUUUGGGGAAACAUGGGCAUCUCAAAUGGACAGCAAACAGGUGAGCUGAUAUUCCAGAAAAUGACUUAAACAGUGUGGAUGGCAGACAUAAUAGUAAAGGAUAGCAAAGCAACCACAACCAUCAGAGUCUGAAACAAGACUAAAGAGUACCAAGGUGUUGACAACAUACUGUACCUGUUCUAAGCUAUUCGGUAAUACUAUGUCACUUCUCAGGACAGUGAGUGUCACUAACAAUUACCAACAGCACCACCAUCAAGAUUCAAGUUCCCUUGUUUUGUAGGUUUGGGUUGAGCACAGUUUCAAACCAUGCCUAUCUCUACCAUUAUCACUGCCUUCCUCUACCAUUAUCACUGCCUUUCUUUCCUUCCGUCUCUCCCUAUCACUCUCCCCUUUUCUUUCUCCCUGUAUCCAUAUUCUCUCUCUAAAUCUGCUCUCUAUGCAGCUCUUACCAUUGGCCACCUAACAGAUGCAAAAGAACUCAUCUUAAAUAAAUUGUCAUUCCAGACAAAAGCUGUCUUCGUGAUUGAUGUGGCAGUUGACAAAAUGUGCAAGUAAUGCCGACCUCCCCCAGGACCCCACCCACAUCCAGUAUAUUCCUUCUACCCUAGAGAAACCUGAGCCAUAUCCCUGUCCCUACUGCUAUUUAUGUUGAACUCAACCAUGCUAUGAUUUUAGAUGUAGUUUUCAUUCACAGAUCAUUCAUGUAUGUUAAUAACUGUCUAUAUGUGCCCAUAACUUGUUGCACUUUGACCUUGAAAAUCUAAGAUAUGAAAGAAAAUCAAACAACAAGAGCUCAAAUCAGCCGUCUGAACUUGCACCUGUUGUCACAAAGGAAAGAUUUGGCCCUUCAUUCAUAAACCAAACCAUAAACAUAAUAUUUACAAAUAACAGUUUGUUCUCUUACGCUUUAAAAAAAAAUGUACAGUUUGUUUUUCAUGUGUGUUUUGUUCUUUUUCUGAGUCCUGGUUCUCUGUCCAGUCCCCUGUGAUGGACCCCAGUCUAUAACCCCGGAGUGUGAUCAUCAUCAUCCCAAAACAAGACAGGAAACAAAACAGGAAAAACAUCCCGCUAGGUUUGUUGUUUGUGUUAUAUGUGAGUAAUGUUUAUCAAAUGUUUUUCUACUCAAGUUUUAGAAUGCAUCCUCUGUGCAUCGGCGACAUGUAAGGUUCCCGCUGAAGAUUCGUCUCUCCAUUGUUGUUUUCAAUGUCAAUGUUUUCCUAACGUUGUCUCAACUUCGGUAACAGUUUUUUUUCUCAUGAAUGUCCAGAGUUUGUCGUGUCCCUGUGUUCAGUUGUGCAGUUGAAAGAUCUGAAACGUGCGUACAAGGUUUCUUCACCUUUGACCUACCUCAGUCUGAGCCCCCUUCAUACCCCCUGCCCCUCAACAACAGAGAGAAUCUCAGAGCAACAGAAGAGAUGAAAAGACUGACAUAUCCAGUAUCCAGAAACCUGUAGCACGCAGCUAAAAGUCCACUGGGGAGAGGAUAAG
This 1839-nucleotide long non-coding RNA is filed under the name Salmo salar (Atlantic salmon). RNAcentral describes it as "lncRNA (ENSSSAG00000107780.1)". The record is from RNAcentral. Lineage: Eukaryota; Metazoa; Chordata; Actinopteri; Salmoniformes; Salmonidae.